Molecule: long non-coding RNA, 367 nt
Filed under: Nicotiana benthamiana
Lineage: Eukaryota; Viridiplantae; Streptophyta; Magnoliopsida; Solanales; Solanaceae
Description: long non-coding RNA (NBEN_LNC031645)
Source: RNAcentral
AGGAGGAAGAGGAACAACAUCCCAGGUAUGGUUGGCAUCCAAGGCAUCAAACUCCUUUCUCAUGGCAUCCUGCCAUACUGGAACAGAUGCAGCUUGAGAUUAAUAAAGAGGUUCAGAUUCCAGAGAAGAAGAGGAGGAGCCAGAUAAGGCAGAAAGUUGACAGACAUAGUCCUUAUGAUAAGAUGGAGGAUUAUGCUGUCUUCCAGAUUUUCUGGGAGCAGGAGCAGAUGUGGAAGAAAGCAAAUUAGGAGGAGAGGAAUCAGGAUUGAAGGAAGGAAUGGAGGCUGGAUUAGAAGAAGAAGAAUAAGUGGUGGCAGAAGGAGGAGGAGGAGAGGAACAAACAUGUAUCAACAAGUCAGUGUCAGAG